RNAcentral lists this ribosomal RNA (253 nucleotides) under uncultured bacterium. RNAcentral describes it as "partial 16S ribosomal RNA". It matches the Rfam family "Bacterial small subunit ribosomal RNA", at positions 524 to 776 of the family's 1533-position model. The record is from RNAcentral.
UACGGAGGGAGCUAGCGUUGUUCGGAAAUACUGGGCGUAAAGCGCACGUAGGCGGCUCUUUAAGUCGGGGGUGAAAUCCUGGAGCUCAACUCCAGAACUGCCUUCGAUACUGGAGAGCUCGAGUCCGGGAGAGGUGAGUGGAACUGCGAGUGUAGAGGUGAAAUUCGUAGAUAUUCGCAAGAACACCAGUGGCGAAGGCGGCUCACUGGCCCGGUACUGACGCUGAGGUGCGAAAGCGUGGGGAGCAAACAGG